RNAcentral lists this non-coding RNA (27 nucleotides) under Rattus norvegicus (Norway rat). The record is from RNAcentral. Lineage: Eukaryota; Metazoa; Chordata; Mammalia; Rodentia; Muridae.
AUAUAAGGGUCUCGUGCCCCUGGAAUC